Pezoporus occidentalis (night parrot) is the source of this 3642-nucleotide long non-coding RNA. RefSeq lists it as uncharacterized. The record is from RefSeq and is a predicted model, not a curated record. The transcript has 3 exons. NCBI's taxonomy places the organism in Eukaryota, Metazoa, Chordata, Aves, Psittaciformes, Psittacidae.
UGCAAAAGCAGAGUUGCAAAGAGGAGGAAUGCGAAGGGAAGAGAUGGACGGGACGGAGAGUGCAAAGAGGCAAGAUGGAAAAGAGAAGAGAUGAGAAGGGCAAAGCACACUCCGGGGUGAGGGUAGCUACUGCCGGGCACCCCCCAGCCCCAGGGUGGGCACUGGUGGCACCCAGGGCUGUGAGAGGUCAAGGGGUGGCUCGUAGGGUGACGGCAGUACAAGGGUCCCAGGGGAGCAGUGCGGUGCCCACAGCUCUUGCUGGGAACGAAGAGCCUGGGAAAACGAAGAUACAUGUGUGUGUUGGGAAGCUUGUAACCCUCAUCACCCACUUCUCCCGUUUGAAAUGAGGAUGGAUAAAACUUGCAAGCGGAGGAGAGCAGCUCUUCCCAGCAGCCUGCAACUGUUUCUCGAAAUGUAUCUGGUGAGCAAGAGUGGGUUUGUAGGCAUUUUGAAGAUACAGCAGGCGUCCAUGGAACUGACUUCAGAGCUGAAUGAGCUGCAAGGAGGUCUUGGCCAUAACUCUGGAGCAGAUGCUAUAGAAGCACCAUCAGUUUUCUUCUCUCUUCCUUCAUCUCUGCGGUAGUGAAAAGUAGUGGGAGCAUCUGAAUCCAUUCUGGGAGUCCUUUCUCUUCCAGCCUUGAACAACAAGGAAUUACUGAGACAAAAUAAAGAUUUAAAACCCCUCCCUGGAGACCCCAUCCUUCAGAACUGUAUUUGCUGUUUCUCAGCAGGGAUCCACCAGCUGAUCUGAGAUGUUCUCUAGUGCAGCAUAAAUACUUCAGUGCUGUGAACUCAGCGUGGGCCUGAUGAGUGCUGUAGCCAAAACCAGCUAAUCAGAGGAGCACCAAUAGAGCCAAUUACUGCUCAGGCUGCGCUUUCAGCCACUCAUGCAUGUGCCACAGUUAUUCAUUCACUUCCUCAGUUUAGAUAGCCUUGUAGACUUUGAGACAGGCCUGUGGCUUUCCCAGGCAGGAGCUCUUCUUUCUCUUCCACUCAUCUUUACAGAUAUUUAAACCAAAGGUUUCUCCCUCCAGGCCAUGUCAUUUCUUUGCUGUUUCUGUGGUGAUACAGGUGAUUUAAGCCUUUUAAUAAAACAUAGCUCUGUUCUGCCUCUCUCUUUGCCUUUAAAGCAUUGACAGAGUUGAGCAUUAGUUCAGGUAUUAAACGAGAGCACUGUGCUCUGGCUGGCUGCCUUUCUAAUGCAUGUAGGUGAUCUGAAACCUCGGCCCAGCUGUCUUUUAUAUAUAUCCACAGUGAUUCCUUUGUAGUCCAGGGUACAAAAUAUCAAACCCAGAUUUCUUUCUCACUGCUGUUUAAACUGGGCGACCUACAAAUAUGAAUAUUCGGCUGUGUUAGUGUCCCCAUAGGAAGAGAUGUUUUCAUUAGCUCCUUCUGUCUGUGCUUCUCUAAUGUGAGUCUCUCUUCUCAUGGCUUGACAUUUGGUCCAUCAUAUUUAACUAUUUUUGUAUUAAUAUCUGGGCUGGGUGAUUCCUAUUUUAAAACAAUCAUAUUCCCUGGCCAAAGUUCCCUGUAGUUCUGCAUGGUUCGUUCUUUUGAAGAGUACUUAUGACUAUGAAGAAACAGGAUCUGUCUUUGGGGAUCAGCCGGGAGUACACUGCUGUCUCAAAGAGUUUGCAAAGAUUUACUGGAUGAAUAGCAGUAAAAAGACUUUCUGUAAUAUCAUUUAGAAUCUGAAUGGAAAAGUAAGUAGAAAGAUCAAAGAGUUAGUAUGGAUGGAGAUCUUUUCCUACACCUUCAUUGCAUCUUUCUGCCCUUUCUUGGUCCCUUCAGCCUUUACCCAUCCCCACUGUCCAUCUUCCCCAUCCUGCCCUCACUGUGCCCACAGGGCCCUGCUCACAUCCGCCUCUGCCCUGUUCUCUGACAAAUCUCAUCCAUGUAAAUGCAGUUUUAUUUGGAUAUGGAUGUAUGUCCUGUUAACUGUGUCCUCCUACCAAAACUCCUGUCUCAGCCUGGCUCCCUGACACCUGAGGACAUCUGACCCUCGUCUCAGACCCGUCUUGGCUGAAGGGGCAAUGUUACUCUCACUCCAAAUGACCCUUUUCCCUUUCUCAAUCACUGGUACUAUCACCUCCUCUUAUCCAUCACUUGGACUUAUAACCUGGAUGUCAUCCUCACCAUAGACUUUCCUCUGUGUAGACACUUCCCAUGUAGCUACUCCCAGAUGUGCCUUUCCUACCAUUCACACAAUGAAGAUGCUGUGCAGGCUCUUCUCUCUCAUGUCUUGAGUCCUACAGCAUCUUUUCCUGGGCAAACCCAGCCUCAGCCCACCACUGUAUACUCAACUUGUUGCUACACACUGUUUCAUCACUGCUGAUCACAUUCACCACCCAUCUUUUCCCUGUGGCUACCCACACUCACCCCUUGCUUCAUGCCAGGAUCUUGCAGCAGAGCUCUGAGGAAAGGACCUCCUUGGCUCUGCAUUUCUGCAGCAUCUGGUUCUUGAGCCAUGACUGCAGGUCCAAGAACAAGAAUAGCAACAAACGUGCAAGCUGAUUCCAGCCCAAGUCAGCAGAGGCCAGAAGCUGCUGUGCUCAGAAGUCUGUUCAUAAAUCAAUGUGAAAUGUGCUGUCUGAGCAUAGCUCCCACUAGACAAACAUCUGCAUAACACAUACCACUGACACAACUGGCGAUGGGAAAAAUAGCUAAACACAUCAUUCCCACAGCUGUGGAGGAAUGAAUAAAGAUAUCUAAUUCCCUUGUCCGUGGGGUAAACUCUGGUCCAGGUAAAGGCACUUCUUAUAAAUAUGAGGUUUUAAAGGCAGAGGGAUCAGUAGGAAAGUUUAAUCUGACUACACUGCCUAGAAAAUUUCACCCAGGGACUUCAAGAUCAUAACUGAAUUUAGAAGAAGAAAGAGAAAGAAAGACAUCCAACUCUCACUUUAAAAUCUCAGAUGGGGGAGAAGCAAGUUCAUCCUUUGGUGAGCUGUUUCAAUGCUAAAAUCUGAUGUUUUUUCCCAUUCUGGAUUUGCCUGGCUUCAGCUGCCAGCCAUAGGAUCACUUUGGGCUGUAGACUGCUAUGUGAAGAAUAAAAUAACCCUCUUAUUAGAAAUUCUCACCCAGUUUUGGCAUUUAUAAUCCAGCAACCAAGCACUCCCUUGAAUAAAUUGAAUACAUUUUCUCUUGGUGGCAAGAUGACCACACUAUCACUCACUGCUGUAGCUUGGUUGCUCCAGAUUUUCAACAUCCUUUUCUCCUGCAGAGAUGAGCUCCAGAUUGCUUAGCCUGGUCUUCAAAAAGCCAUGAAGAGGGCAGCACCACCACUUCUAUUUGGUUUUCUGCUCCUUUAGCCAAGAACCACAUUUAUUCUGGUGGCCAGCAUCAUUACAUAAGUAUGCAGCUGUUUUCACUGGUCACUUCUGAAGAUGAAUUGUAUUGGCAAAGUACACUUCGAUCAUAGCUCAGUCAAGUGAAGGCAAUUCUGGCCUAGUUUUGGGCCACAACUAUCAUCUCUCCAGCACCCAUACACUCACACUGGGUCUCUCCAGCUUCAGGAUCACAAGAGAGCAAUGAUGACAGGGAUGUUGUACGUGUCCAAGUCCUAAUGCAGCAGUGAUACUGUAGGAUUUUGGCUUCUUGUCUAGAAAUAAAAAGAUGGAUAUGUGAAAUGUCUUGUCUUUGCUU